GAUGAACGCUAGCUACAGGCUUAACACAUGCAAGUCGAGGGGCAGCAUGGUCUUAGCUUGCUAAGGCCGAUGGCGACCGGCGCACGGGUGAGUAACACGUAUCCAACCUGCCGUCUACUCUUGGACAGCCUUCUGAAAGGAAGAUUAAUACAAGAUGGCAUCAUGAGUCCGCAUGUUCACAUGAUUAAAGGUAUUCCGGUAGACGAUGGGGAUGCGUUCCAUUAGAUAGUAGGCGGGGUAACGGCCCACCUAGUCUUCGAUGGAUAGGGGUUCUGAGAGGAAGGUCCCCCCACAUUGGAACUGAGACACGGUCCAAACUCCUACGGGAGGCAGCAGUUAGGAAUAUUCGUCAAUGGGGGAAACCCUGAACGAGCAAUGCCGCGUGAAUGAAGAAGGCCCUAUGGGUUGUAAAAUUCUGUUGUAUGGAAAGAAAUGUAAAGUUAGGAAAUGAAC
Molecule: ribosomal RNA, 453 nt
Filed under: uncultured bacterium
Lineage: Bacteria
Description: bacterial SSU rRNA
Rfam family: Bacterial small subunit ribosomal RNA
Source: RNAcentral